GGCGUCGAGCGGCGAACGGGUGAGUAACGCGUGGGAAUCUACCUUACGGCGGGGGACAACGUGUGGAAACGCACGCUAAUACCGCAUACGCCUUACGGGGGAAAGCGGGGGACCUUCGGGCCUCGCACUAUUGGAUGAGCCUAUGUCUGAUUAGCUAGUUGGUAGGGUAAAAGCCUACCAAGGCGACGAUCAGUAGCUGGUUUGAGAGAAUGAUCAGCCACACUGGGACUGAGACACGGCCCAGACUCC
RNAcentral lists this ribosomal RNA (249 nucleotides) under uncultured bacterium. RNAcentral describes it as "partial 16S ribosomal RNA". It matches the Rfam family "Bacterial small subunit ribosomal RNA", at positions 87 to 339 of the family's 1533-position model. The record is from RNAcentral.